Molecule: ribosomal RNA, 110 nt
Filed under: uncultured eukaryote
Lineage: Eukaryota
Description: partial small subunit ribosomal RNA
Source: RNAcentral
UCGUUGCUACUGAUGGCCAACGAAUAAAGACGAUGGGACGCUGCCUCGGGGCUUGCCCCAGGCAAUCCAUUUGUGAAACCUUCUCGAUGUUCGUAUGCUAGAGGAAGCAA